Myotis daubentonii (Daubenton's bat) is the source of this 2128-nucleotide long non-coding RNA. RefSeq lists it as uncharacterized. The record is from RefSeq and is a predicted model, not a curated record. The transcript has 3 exons. Lineage: Eukaryota; Metazoa; Chordata; Mammalia; Chiroptera; Vespertilionidae.
UUCAGACAAGUUCCCCUUCCUUCUCUUUGUCCUGAAGACAGUCUCUGAGCGGAGGACUUCAUGUAAAACAAACACGCGUUACAUGGGAGGAACCUCGCGUUCGUCAGCAGGUCCCACACCCGUGGGGACCCCGGGCGAGUGCACGGCCUCCACGCACAGGUGAGUUUUAUGACAACAAUAAGGGCACCCAUUCGGUUCGAGGCCCCCUAGCAAUCUUCUCUUAAAAGACCAUCCGAAAGCCCGGCAGGCCUGUGAGCCAGGAGGUCACGGUUCGACUCCCUGUCAGGGCACAUGCCUAGGUUUCAGGCUCGAUCCCCAGUGUGGGGUGUGUAGGUGGCAGCCAAUCAAUGAUUCUCCCUAAUCAUUGAUGUUUCUAUCUCUCUCUCUCUCCCUCUCCCUUCCUCUCUGAAAUCAGUAAGAAUAUAUUUAAGGGAAAAAAAGACCAUCCUAAGUAUUUAGGGUAGCAGUUCGCAAUCUCAGGUGCACUGGAGUCCCCUGGGAAGCUUGAACACAUGCUAACGCCCAGGCUGCACCCCAACCAAUUAAACCAGAAUCUCGGGGGCCGGGCCCUUUGCCAGGGGUGGGUAUUUUUUCAGUUCCCAGGAUGUGACCUAGUUGAGAACCACUGAUUUAUGGGCGGGGAGGGGGGGAGGGUGCGGGCACACAGUGUUGUUAAAUGAACAAAGUUGGAUACUCAGUGCGCUUGUCAGAACCUGGUGAGCACUUUGGGAACUUUCCACAGAGGCCUGGGACCAGCCACCUGCCUCCCGGGGCCUCGGACAAGGUCCUGAAACUUCCCGCCUCACCUGCCAAAGGGAAAGCGAGGCCUCGGCCGCCUGGGGUCAGACUCUCGGAGAGUAGGCACCCGCCCUCCUGGCCAGCCUUCUCCUCUGCAGUGACCGGCCAGCGGGCAGGAUGCGUGCCCCGCACCAGGCGACCUCCCAGCCCCUCCAGGCACCAGGUGACCUCCCAGCCCCUCCAGGAGCCGCACUGUGGUCAGCCCAUUUCACAGUCAAGGACAUUGCCUCCGGGAGGGAGCCUCAGGCUGGGGGACCAGACCCAGCUCACACCGGCUCCUUCUCCCCUGAGGCACAGCGCCUCUGAGGAGCAGUUAAUGCUGCUGGAGUGGGAAGCAAAGUACAUGUGCUUGGGGCAAAGGGACAACUCGAGAAACCAUCUCGAGAUCAGUUAAGAAAACAGAGAAUUCAGAGAAGCAGCAGGUGAUUCAUUGAAAAAAUACUGCGGACAGUAGUUGAAGAGGUGCUGCCCAGCAGGUGCCGCUCUGAAGGUUGGGGAAGCGGGCCAUGCCUCUGCGUGCUCAGCCCUCAGCUCUGGGCCCCACGUCCGUCCGUGGCCCUCACUCGGGCAGCACCAGUAAAGGCGUAAACAGCCCUCCCUCCCGGGAUGGAUGGAAAAGAGCGGCUGCCCACGACUUUCCCACCCGCCAUGCCCGAGGGAUUAAAUGUCCACAUUGAAGCCAAAAUUGAUUGUGUGCGUGAACUGCGUAUGGCUGGUCUGCUGUGUUGCUGGUUUCUGCUGGCAUCGUGCGCAAAAUGUGCUUUGGGGCACCGUUCCUGAGGAGCCAUUUUUCCCGAUGUCAAUACAGAAUCACCAACCAUGCAGAACGAGCAAAGAUAUGCUCGCCCGGGCACAGAAGCCAGUGGCAGCGUCGAGCUAAGGGAGACAGUAACAUGUGCUCUCGGCACCUGUGGGGCAGGCUGGGGGUGUGCCAGCGCCUGACACAGCAAGCAGAGGGCACUGCCCACAUCAGACUCCAGAAAGCUUUCUGUCAGGUGUGCCACCUGCGUCCUUUGUGCCACCCUGUCCUUUCUGUGCCCGUGGAAUAUGCCAUUGAAGCCAACAGGUCUCUGAAAAGAAGCAAACUCAAUGCAGGCAGCUUCUUCGCUGCUCGUAGAAUUACACACGGACUCAGAGAGCUCCCCUCCGCCCUCCACGCCGGGAGCUGUUCUUAUCGCUCCCGACAGCCUGCUCCCUGAAUUCACGCACCGCUUGGGUUUGUCAUUGCUGCUCCGGUUUGUCCUUUGGCCCUUUGGGGUGUGCUGUUCAGAAACAAGACCUUCGUUGCAUCUUUUCUCUAUAAUCUACAGAAAAUGUGCUUUAUCUUGUC